CCCCUCGGGCUCUCGCGUUGCCUUGCCCCGAGGCCCUCCCCCGGCUGCCAUGUGGCGGGGGAGCGAGAGGGGAGGAAACCCAGGCUGAACAGCCAUCAAUGCGCGGCGCCCCAACUGUCCCUCACUGCGUUUAAUGUGGUAAGGACGGACGUGCGGUGCCGCACCACUGACCCACGUCAAUCGGGUCUGACCAGUCUGUGAUCGGCCUGUCGCCGGUCACGUUCGACUGAAUGGGCGGCCGUGCCCCCACGUCGCCUCUGUAUCCGGCGGAGUGGAGGUAGGUAUGUCCCGUCCCAUCGAAAAGUCAUUCGGAGUUCCCUCCGUGAGAGGAGGACCGCCACAAGUCUUCACUCAUUUAUGAGGGAAUGACAGGGCUGUCCCCCGUGUCAGGCUGGGGGGGGACGUUGGGUCCCGCUCAAGGACGGACUGCUGCUUAGCUUCCGGGCGAAGGUACGGGUCGCAGUCCGGUCAAGGUAGUGGGUCCCCCUCCCGUAGAAGAGUAGGCAGAGGCGGUGCAUGCGGUAUCCCCUUAAACUAUACAAGGAUGACCUUGCCCACCGAGAAAAGGGACGACUCUCAGUAAGCCUGAACUCUAGGAGAAGAGAAGUGGGAGCGCUCUCCGGAGUUUAGGAACCCUUGUAACACUCCAUAAUCUCACACACAGGAGUAGGGUAUUACGCUCCAUAGCGGCCCGAACCUAUAUAAUCUUAGUGCCCACACGCGUUUUAGUAGCAUUGAGGGCGGAUUCACGAUCUCCCCACGCGAGCCUUUUCCCCCGGCCGAACUCACUAAAGGGGGAUCUCACGAUCUCCCGCUAGAGAGGAUCACUCCUCGACAGCUGGCGCGCCAGGUAGAAGGAAUUCGCGCGCUUCAAAGGGAAGUCGUUUCCUUCCGCCCCAAGUUCUCCUCUACCUUCGACGAUCAUGGUCGAGGUCUUGGAGGAAGAGGUGGUGGUGCACACCCCCAUUCCCUCCGGGAGUGAGGAUGCUAGCGGGAGUCGCGGCCCCCGUCACCGUCGCCGCAACUGGCGAACUCCGCCCCGUCGCGACCCCCCGCGGAGGGAGGAUCCCACCCGGUCGGGUGGCUCGGCCCUCUCCCCGCCUCCCGGCGGGGGGAGGCCACGGCGCGUCGGAGCACGUCGCCGCCUGACAUACGGCGACGGUGACUCGCCCCGAGGCGCGCUUCAGGCGGCGGGAGCCCUUCUACGGCAUCCUCCGGUGAACGCGGAGCAUCCUCAGGUUGGUGACGUCGCCAACCUGGUCACCACUGCCCAGCGACAGCUGACCGCGGGUGGCCGUUCCACCGCCACUGGUACGUCACGUACCCCCACCACCCUCUCCUCAUCAGCAAGGAGGAGGGCCCGUCGGUCGGCCACGGCCUUGAGGCGAUCCACGGCCCCAACGUCGUCGGGGGCCUCGGGAAGUCGGAGGCAUCACGAUGACCUCUACGAGGAGCAGGACGCUCGAAUCAACAUCGAGCAACACCGGGACGAGCGCCGCGCUGCCCGCAUGGGAGAAGGCGCCUCCUCGUCUGGAGUGCCGCGUUCCUCCUCGCGAGGCGGCCCGCCCCCCACGUUCACCCCUGGAGGGACUGCUUGUAGGGCCUUCGUUGUGAGUCUCCGGAAUGUCCGGUGACCCCCGAAGUUUUGCCCCAACCUCACGGAGAAGUAUGAUGGCAGCAUCAAUCCCUCCGAGUUCCUCCAGAUCUAUACCACGAUCAUCGUGGCGGCGGGGAGGGGGGGGACGACCGGGUCAUGGCGAAUUAUUUCCCCAUGGCUCUUAAGGGUCAGGCGCGCGACUGGCUCAUGACCCAGCCCCCCGACUCCAUCCACUCCUAGGAGGACCUGUGCCAGCAGUUCAUUACGAACUUCUAGGGCACGUACCCCCGCCCAGGAGAGGAGACGGACCUGCAUGCUCUGCAGCGAAAGGACGAUGAGCCCCUCCGCUCGUAUAUACAGCGCUUCUGCCAGGUCCGCAACACUAUUCCGUGCAUUCCGGCUCACGCGAUCGUUUAUACGUUUCGGAACGGCGUGCGGCACAAUCGCAUGCUAGAGAAGAUCGCCUCCAAGGAGCCCAAGACCACCGCCGAGCUCUUCAAGCUGGCGGACAAGGUGGCUCGGAAGGAGGAGGCGUGGGCCUGGAACUCCCCUAGCACCGGCGCGGCAGCUGCGGCUGCCCCCGAAUCCGUUACCCGCUCUAAGCGGCGAGAUACGAGGGGCAAAAGGAAGCCAGCCCGCUCCGACGACGAGGGCCACGUCCUUGCGGCCGAUGGGCCCUCACGGGCCCCGCGCAAGGAAAAAGCCACCGGCGAUAAGCCGAGCUCCACCGCUCCCUCCGGAGAGGGUCGGUCGGCAGACAAGUGGUGCUCGGUGCACAACACUUAUCAGCACAGCCUCGCCGACUGCCGCUCGGUCAAGAACUUGGUCGAGCGGUUUCGGAAAGCCGAUGAGAAGCGGCAGAAUCGACGGGAGGGCAAAGCCCCCGCGACCCCCGCCAAUGACUGGCGAGGGGAGGCCAAGAAGAAGGCCCCCGCCGAUGACGGCGAUGAUAGCGAGGAUCUGGAAUUCCAGAUACCUCAGGGAACCGUCGCCACUCUCGACAGGGAGGCUUGCGCUCACACCUCCCGCCGCGGUUUCAAGGUCACGAGGUGUGAGCUUCUGGCCGCCGUCCCAACUCACAAGGCGGCACGGAAGGCGCGCUGGUCGGAGGUGAAGCUCACCUUCGACCAGAGCGACCAUCCAACAAUGCUCGCUCGGGGAGGGAAGUUGGCCCUCGUGGUCUCCCCAACCAUCCACAACGUCAAGAUGAAGCGUGUCCUGGUUGACGGGGAGGCUAGCCUGAGCAUCAUCUCCCCGGCUGCUUUUGACGCGCUCAAAGCCCCGGGGAUGAAGCUCCAGCCGUCACUGCCGAUCAUCGGCGUGACCUCGGGACACGUGGCCUCUGGGUCACGUUUAGCUCCCGGUGACCUUCGGCGACUCCACCAACUUCUGUACCGAGCGGAUUGACUUCGAUGUGGCGGACCUCAAUCUGCCCUACAACGUGGUCCUGGGCAGGCCCGCGUUGGUGAAGUUCAUGGCCGCCACCCACUACGCCUACCUCCAGAUGAAGAUGCCGGGCCCCAGCGGCCCCAUCACCGUCUUUGGCGAUGUCAAGGUCGCCCUCGCCUGCGCAGAGUAGCGUGCCGACAACCUGGCGGCAGCCACGGAGCCGCAGGUCCCGAAGGCCUCCACGUCCCGCGCCUCCAAGAAGCGCCUCGCCUCGGCCGACGAGGUGCCCGUCAAGGAGAUUCCCCUUGGCGAUGAUCCAUCCAAGACCGCCAAGAUUAACGGUACCUUGGACGCCAAAUAGGAAAGCGCGCUCGUCUCCUUCCUGCGGGCGAACUCCGACGUCUUUGCGUGGAAGCCGUCGGAUAUGCCCGGGGUCCCUAGGGAGGUGAUCGAGCACCGCCUCGCCGUGCGGCCGGAUGCGCGACCCAUCCGGCAGAAAGUACGGCGCCAAGCCCCGGAGCGGCAAGCCUUCAUCCGAGAGGAGGUGACGUGGCUCCUGGAGGCCGGCUUCAUCCGAGAAGUCAUCCACCCAGAGUGGUUGGCAAAUCCAGUGGUCGUCCCGAAGGCCAACGGCAAGCUCCGGAUGUGCAUCGACUGCACGGACCUCAACAAGGCAUGCCCUAAGGAUCCCUUCCCUUUACCGCGCAUAGAUCAGAUAGUCGACUCCACUGCGGGGUGCGACCUUUUGUCGUUCUUAGAUGCCUACUCCGGGUAUCACCAGAUCCGCAUGGCUAGGGAAGAUGAGGAAAAAACUGCUUUCAAUACUCCUGUAGAAACCUUUAUUAUACAACUAUGCCUUUUGGUCUCAAGAACGCAGGUCCUACUUUUCAGCGCAUGACUCGCAUUACUUUGAGUAAUCAAAUAGGGCGCAAUAGGCGCAAUGUAGAGGCGUAUGUCGAUGACCUGGUGGUAAAGACACGCCACCAGGACACGUUGUUGCAGGAUGGCUGAGACUUUCGACAGUCUUAGGUCCACGCGCAUGAAACUGAACCCCGAAAAGUGUGUUCAGUGUGCCGGCGGGCAAACUCGGUUUUCUAGUCUCCUCCCGAGGCAUAACCCCCGCACAUCCUUCGGCUUGUGCAGGCUUGGCCGAGGGCUACCACUGUUAAUUAUGUUGUAUCUUUUCCCUUCCCCAGCAAUAAAUUUUUCCGCUCAAGCGGAGGCUAUUGCGCGCCCUUUCUUACUCCUUCCUAUGGCUCGUCCUGCUUCAAAGGAUGAUUCGCGCUUAUCCCGGACCCUAAGUGGCGUUGGGCGACCUGAAAACCGCCGAAAGGGAGCCUAAACGCGGGCCGCGCCCCGGGCUGCGGCGAACCCUGGGGGCUCGGAAGGGCCUACACACGGCCAUCCCCGACCCCCGGUCGUCGUAGCCUCGGUCUGGCCAGACCUGCUAGGCAGCUCCCUCGGGGCGACGGCAUUGCCCCUCGCCACCUAGGUGCCACGGGCCGAGCGUGAGUUUCCCUUUUCACCGGAACAAGCCCGAGGAGGGACAUAAAGAGGGUAAGAACGGCAACUUAAUCAUAAGAAAGUCAAUUGAAUACGUUCGCUUUGGUUUCUUCUUCUUUCUUUGCCGCAGACAUUCAAAGGAGAAAGCAAGAAUGUAAAGGCGCGAAGGAGAAGCUUUGUUUACAAACAGUAUGGCACGAUGACCUAAAGUUUGAAGCGUUCACCGCGAGCACAUAACAAAAUAAAAGAAGAAAAGCGGGGAUAGUCACGGAGUGCCCGGGACCCCGAGUCCGGCGCCGCUGACCACCUCGUCCCAGUCCUCGCCGCCGUCAUCGCCACCACUGUCCUCGCUCCCCUCCCCUCGUCUGAAGCAAGCGCAAGGUUGAACCGAGGGGCCGACCCCUCGAAGCUGGAGACGAUCGCGUCGGCCGCCUCCUGGACUUGCUCCCGAGCCCUCGCCUCGGUCCCCGGGGGGAAGUCCUCGAGCGCGCGCCACAGGACGAAGUCGGGGUCGCGAGCUUGAUGACUUGCGAGGACCAGUUCCACCGCAGCCCGCGCCAAAGAAGCCGACAACGACUUCACGACCUCGCCGACCUCCUCCUCCAGCCUCUCCAAAUCCGCAGCCAUCCCGUCCAGCCGGAGCGCGAGUGCCGGCUGUGUGGGCGGGAGCUUCCUGUCCCGACGCACGGAGAUGCCUACCCGGCGCCCCGCGCACUCCAGCCGUUCGACGGCGUCGGAGAGUUGGCCAGGUCCGAUCUCGUUGGUGAGGCGGAGGGCCGCAAUCUCUCCAGCUUGGUCCUGCACCAGGAGCCGCAGGUCGGCGAGGGUGCUUUGAACCGCGGUGAGUUGGCUCAUCAACUCCGCGCCGCCGGGCUGCCCGCCUGCCGCCAGCUCCUUCUCCCAGGCCUCCAGCUCGGAAGCCCUCGCCGCCAUCGCCGCGCGCUCAGCGCGGGCACCUUCUAAAUGCCGGGCCUCGCGCCCGGCAACGGCCUCCUCGCGUUUCGCGAGUUGCUCGCCCAGCCGACGCGCCGCCACCUCGCGGCGAUUCACCUCGGCCUCGCGUGCGGCAAGCGCGGUGUCCCGUUCUCGGCACGCCUCCUCCCGAAGCCGCAACCCCUUCGCGCGAUGAGCCACCGAAGCCUCUGCGGCAAGGGUGGUCUGGUUGCGCUCGGCUGCGGCCUCCUGGCGGAGGCGAAGGGAGGACUCCGCCUCGGCCGCCGUUCUCUCGGGCGGCCAAAGUGGUCUCGCGCUGGUCUAGCAUGCGCGCCCGCUCCUCCAGCACCCGAGCAUGCUCCUCCAGCUCCCGGGCUCACUGCGCCUGUUCCCGACUGCGCCCGUCCUGUUCGCACUGGUUACGGUCGAGGACCUCAAUCCGUCGAUGGAUCGUGGCCUCGAACUCCUGCGCGGAGCGGGCGCACUCGUCUAAGGCCUUGCGAUUGGCCUCGAGCGCCGCCAACCGAGCCCGCAGCGAGGCGUCGACCUCCGACGCCCGCCGCUCUUAGGCAGCAGCCGCGUCGAGGACUCCGCGGGCGUCUUCGACCCUCUUCGCCAGAUCCUCGGCGUGGGCCUCGUACUGCAAGCGAAUGUCGCCCAGCGCCUCAUCCAGUACGCUCGAAGAGAUAAGCACCGCCUGCCGCUCCUCCUCCGUCUCCCGCAUAACCGAGUCCAGCGUCUCUUCGCGCGCCUAGUUCUCCGCCAGUUGGGCUUGGCGCAUUUUGCGCCCCACCUCCACCAUGUCGUCCACGGCGCGGCGCCCCUCAUCGACUCGCGCGCGGUCCGCCGCGAGCUGCGCCCACUCCACCUCCAGGGCCGCCUGCUCGUCCGCUAGGGCUUGAACUUGGGCAUUGAGCCCCUCCAGGACGGUGGAGUCGGCAGCGGCGAGCACCUGCAGGAGUGGCUCCAUGCUCACGGGAGUCGGAGAAGAAAAAGACGGUCCGCCCCCGAGAUGACGGAGUGCUGCUGGACCCCCCGCGAGACUGGGGGCUGCUCUCGGCCCCUCUUCCGCGCGGCCAGCCCCGAGGACGCCCCAAAUGCAGAGGGGAACGGUUGCCCCCGUCACCCCCCGCCUCGGCCCCUCGGGCAGACUCGGCCUCGGCCUCGAGUUCGGGCCCGCCCCCGGCCUCAGCCUCCAGGCCGUGCCCCGCCUCGGCCCCCGGAGCGUGUUCCACCUCGGACUCCGAGCCACGACCUGCUUUGGCCUCCGCCCCCGAGUGGCGCUCCUCGUAGGUCGCGCCCUCGGGAUCGCCCCCGGGGGGACGCCGUCGCCGUUGCUAUCACCCGCGGAUGGUUGCACCUCGGCUGUGGCGGGCUCGGAACCAGACCCGGCGUGUGGCCCGGGGGCCCCACCAGGGUACUGCGAAGGCCCCGUGACACCGGGUUGGCCGGGUCCCGGUCGAUCCCACCGCUCGGAUUUUGACCCCUACAAGGGAUCGGACGCCGAGACCCCCUGGGAAGGAAUCCCGCUACAGGAGAACCCCAAUCACGUUAAAAAAAAAAGAAGAGGAAGGAACAGGAGGCCGAGAUGGAUAGAGAGCACCGAGUCGGAUGCUGGCGAUCAUUCCUGCGAGGAGGGCGUUUGAAGGUCCACUUCCGGGGCUCGAUGAAGCUCCCCCGGCACGGCUCCGUUUGCCCUAUCUUCCGGAGCCGCUUCUUCCGUCCAGCCUCGGACGCGGCGGGGCGUUUGUGGCCCGCCGGUGGUCGGUCCGCCGUUCGCUCGGCGCCCCCUCCACGCGGGGGAGAAGGCAGCCGAGAUUCGAACGCCUUCCGCUUCCCUUUCGGGUCGCCGGCCGAGUCCCCCCCGGGUCCAUGGCUCGGACCGGGCGCCCAGGAGCCGACGCCCCCGCCGGAGCCGCCGGCCCGGCUGCCGCCUACGGUCGCGCCGCUGCUACCCGCGCCGUCGCCGCCACCACCGGCGCCGCUCCGGCGGGACCGACCCCUGCCAGCACCGACUGCCGACAUCACAGCCAGGAUACUCUCCCGGUCGCGGUCGCUGCAGAGGGGGAGGAUCCCGUCCGGAAUCAGCGUUUGCUUGAUAGUGUCCAGGCCCAGCACUCGCCGGAUCACCGUCUUCGCGUCCUCCUCGCCCCAGUCCCAGCGCUCACCCACGUGGGUGCGCAUGGGAUCGUUGUGCCCAGUAUACUCCCACGCGCCGCGGGACCGCUCCUGGAGAGGCGCGAUGCGACGGCGGUAGUCGCCGAACACCAUCGCCCCCGUUAAGCCUUAGCUUCGCAGGCCCCUGAGGCGAUCCCGCACGGCGUCGUACUCCUCGCCCAGUUCCGAAACUGCCAACCACGCGGCGGAUCGUUCAGGAGGGCCGACGGGGAGCCGAAGUCGCGGAUGAUCCGGUAGCGCGGUGUAGAACCAAUCCUUCUUCCAAUCCUCCCACUUCUUGCAGAGGUGGCUCUCGAUGUACUACCCCGCCAUUCCCGGCCGGGGCUGGAGGUAGCAUCCUCCCACCGCCGCGCCUUGCUGCAGCUGCGGGAUGAAGAAGGACUGGAACAGCCGCAUCGUCGGCCGCACCCCGACAAACAUCUCGCACAAGUGCGCGAAGAUGACCAGCGUCAUCACGGCGUUGGGUGCGAGAUGCAAGGCUUGAAUCUCGUAGAAAUCCAAAACCUCAUGGAAGAACCUGGAAAAUGGCGGGAUCAACCCCACCAUGGCGAAGGACAGGAGGUGCACGGAUCGCUCUGGAUACCACGGCCGCGGCCGUGACUCCCCCACCCUCACGGCGGCGUCCUCCGGCAUGAUCUUGCGGACGAGGCUAAGAUGCAUCUCUGCCGUGAUGCGCGACGCCGGGAGCACAGCGUCACCAGCGUCAUGGGCCAUGGUGACCGGCGGGGAAACGACGAGGAGCUUGGUGUACAGAAUGGCGUGGAGCGAGAGAAGCGAUGGGGCUUGAAGAACGAGUGAGCGGGCGAGCAGUCGGCGAGAAGAAGGGGACGAACUCGCCCCCUUAUCCUUUUAUCCCCGCCUCGCCCGCGCUCGUCUCCUCGUUUCACGCCCCCGCGGUUGUCUCCUCGAUUCAUGCGCCUCAUCGUUUCUCGCGUCCACUCAUCACGUCGCCCACUGAAUCCGCGCCCCGCGUUCAGUGAACCUGUCAGCGGCACACUCAGCGCGGGGCGUGCGAUGUUCGUGGGCGCGGAUUAGGCGGGCCCGCCGUCGGUCCCGUCGCGUGCCUGGCAGGCGAGGGAGUCGAGGCGGCGUGGCUGACGAUUCUGGGCGUGGUCUGGUCGACCCCCCGAUUUUCGCGCCUUAGGCGCCCCCAUCAUCAGCGCGGUUAAUGGCGGUCAAAUCGCCAUUAUGGCUAAUGCGCCAGCCUGGCCGCGCGGCGGCAACCGUCAGGAUUCCCCGUCGGGCCCACAACCUCGGCACGGGAAGACGUGAGGCGCCACGUCAGACUGCCCUCACAAGGCCGAUGUCCGACGUGGUGCCGGGGGCUACUGUCGGAGAUAUGGGCCCGGGGGUAUGCAAAGUGAGGGGAAGUUACCUUCCCAUCCAGCCACAUGGCUCUACAGCCUGGCCCUACCCCCGCACCUCGUGAGUCGCAGGUCGCAGAAGCGGCUGGGGGGCCUCGGGGUGCCACGUCAUGCCCCUCGAGCUCUCGCGUUGCCUUGCCCCGAGGCCCUCCCCCAGCUGCUAUGUGGCGGGGGGAGCGAGGGGAGGAAGCCCAGGCUGAACAGCCAUCAAUGCGCGGCACCCCAACUAUCCCUCACCGCGUUUAAUGCGGUAAGGACGGACGUGCGGUGCCGCACCACUGAUCCACGUCAAUCGGGUCUGACUAGUCUGUGACCGGCCUGUCGCCGGUCACGUUCGACUGAACGGGCGGCAGUGCCCCCACGUCGCCUCUGUAUCCGGCGAAGUGGAGGUAGGUAUGUCCCGUCCCAUCGAAACGUCAUUCGGAGUUCCCUCCGUGAGAGGAGGAUCGCCACAAGUCUUCACCCAUUUAUGAGGGAAUGACAGGGCUGUCCCCCGUGUCAGGCGGGGGGGGUGCGUUGGGUCCCGCUCAAGGACGGACUGCUGCUUAGCUUCCGGGCGAAGGCACAGGUCGCAGUCCGGUCAAGGUAGAGUGGGUCCCCCUCUCGUAGAAGAGUAGGUAGAGGCGGUGCAUGCGGUAUCCCCUUGAACUAUAGAAGGAGGACCUUGCCCACCGAGAAAAGGAGCGACUCUCAGUAAGCCUGAACUCUAGGAGAAGAGAAGUGGGAGCGCUCUCCGGAGUUUAGGAACCCUUGUAACACUCAGCCAUAAUCUCACACACAGGAGUAGGGUAUCGCGCUCCAUAGCAGCCCGAACCUGUAUAAUCUUAGUGCCCACACGCGUUUUAGUAGCAUUGAGGGCGGAUUCGCGAUCUCCCCACGCGAGCCUUUUCCCCCGGCCGAACUCACUAAAGGGGAUCUCACGA
RNAcentral lists this long non-coding RNA (9887 nucleotides) under Oryza sativa (Asian cultivated rice). RNAcentral describes it as "long non-coding RNA (OSAT_LNC000633)". Lineage: Eukaryota; Viridiplantae; Streptophyta; Magnoliopsida; Poales; Poaceae. The record is from RNAcentral.